RNAcentral lists this ribosomal RNA (274 nucleotides) under uncultured bacterium. RNAcentral's name for it is "partial 16S ribosomal RNA". It matches the Rfam family "Bacterial small subunit ribosomal RNA", at positions 523 to 796 of the family's 1533-position model. The record is from RNAcentral.
AUACAGAGGGUGCGAGCGUUAAUCGGAAUUACUGGGCGUAAAGCGCGCGUAGGCGGCUUAUUAAGUCGGAUGUGAAAUCCCCGGGCUCAACCUGGGAACUGCAUCUGAUACUGGUAAGCUAGAGUUUGGGAGAGGGAAGUAGAAUUUCAGGUGUAGCGGUGAAAUGCAUAGAGAUCUGAAGGAAUACCAGUGGCGAAGGCGACUUCCUGGCCUAAAACUGACGCUGAGGUGCGAAAGCGUGGGUAGCAAACGGGAUUAGAAACCCCAGUAGUCC